GCCGGCACGGGGCGUGAGGACGGCUGAGUACACGUGCUAACCUACCUCGGGACGGGGAUAGUCCCGGGAAACUGGGGCUAAUCCCCGAUAGGCGGAGAGGCCUGGAAGGGUCCUCCGCCGAAAGGGUACGGCGGGGAUGUCCGCCGUGCCGCCCGAGGAUGGGGCCACGGCCCAUCAGGUAGUUGGCGGGGUAACGGCCCGCCAAGCCGAUAACGGGUAGGGCCGUGGGAGCGGGAGCCCCCAGAUGGGCCCUGAGACAAGGGCCCAGGCCCUACGGGGCGCACCAGGCGCGAAAACUCCGCAAUGCGGGCAACCGUGACGGGGCCACCCCGAGUGCCCCGAAGAGGGGCUUUUCCCCGCUGUAAGGAGGCGGGGGAAUAAGCGGGGGGCAAGUCUGGUGUCAGCGCCGGGUAAAACCAGCUCCUCGAGGGGUCCCCACGGCAUACUGGGCCUAAAGCGUCUCGUAGACCUGGCGCCCGUAAGUCCCCGGUUAAAUCCACCAGAAGACUGGUGGACUGCCGGGGAUACUGCGGGGCUAGGGAGCGGGAGGGGCCGAGGGUAUUCCGGGGGAUAGCGGUAAAAUGCGUAGAUCCCCGGAGGACCACCAGUGGCGAAGGCGCUCGGCUGGAACGCGUCCGACGGUGAGGGACGAAAGCUGGGGGAGCAAACCGGAUUAGAUACCCGGGUAGUCCCAGCGCGGUAAACGAUGCCGGCUAGUGCCGGCCGAGGUUUCGGCCUCGGCCGGUGUCGAAGCGAAGGCGUUAAGCCGGCCGCCUGAGGAGUACGGCCGCAAGGCCGAAACUUGAAGGAAUUGACGGGGGGGCACCACAAGGGGUGAACGCCUGCGGCUCAAUUGGACUCAACGCCGGGAAUCUUACCGGGGGCGACAGCAGGAUGAAGGUCAGGCUGAAGACCUUACCUGACGCGCUGAGGGGUGGUGCAUGGCCGUCGCCAGCUCGUGCCGUGAGGUGUCCUGUUAAGUCAGGCAACGAGCGAGACCCCCGCCCCUAGUUGCCAGCGGGGCCUUUCGGGGCUGACCGGGCAAACUAGGGGGACUGCCGGCGAAGAGCCGGAGGAAGGAGGGGGCUACGGCAGGUCAGUAUGCCCCUAAUCCCCCGGGCCGCACGCGGGCUGCAAUGGGCGGGACAGCGGGAUGCGACCCCGAGAGGGGGAGCUAACCCCUUAAACCCGCCCGUAGUUGGGAUCGAGGGCUGCAACUCGCCCUCGUGAACCCGGAAUCCUAGUAACCGCGGUUCUCCAUACCGCGGUGAAUACGUCCUGCCCCUUGUACACACCGCCCGUCAACCCACCC
Molecule: ribosomal RNA, 1312 nt
Filed under: uncultured archaeon
Lineage: Archaea
Description: bacterial SSU rRNA
Rfam family: Archaeal small subunit ribosomal RNA
Source: RNAcentral